RNAcentral lists this unclassified non-coding RNA (381 nucleotides) under soil metagenome. RNAcentral describes it as "partial contains 5.8S ribosomal RNA, internal transcribed spacer 2, and large subunit ribosomal RNA". The stretch from base 1 to 120 matches the Rfam family "5.8S ribosomal RNA", at positions 35 to 154 of the family's 154-position model. The record is from RNAcentral.
GAUGAAGAACGUAGCGAAAUGCGAUAAGUAAUGUGAAUUGCAGAAUUCAGUGAAUCAUCGAAUCUUUGAACGCACCUUGCACCCUUUGGCAUUCCGAAGGGUAUGCUCGUUUGAGUGUCAUUGUACUCUCACACUUCUGAUCCUUUGGAUUGGGAGCGGUGGACUUGGGUGUUGCUGCUUUACUGUGGCUCACCUCAAAUGCAUUCGUGCAACUCUUGGUUGGACAUAGUACGGCGUGAUAAGUAUCUUCGCCGGCACCUCGCAAGAGGGUGGCUGAUCAGGAGCUCUGUGCUUUCCAACUGUCUUCAGACAACAACUGACAACUUGACCUCAAAUCGAGUAGGACCACCCGCUGAACUUAAGCAUAUCAAUAGCGGAGGA